This 253-nucleotide ribosomal RNA is filed under the name uncultured bacterium. Its description in RNAcentral is "partial 16S ribosomal RNA". It matches the Rfam family "Bacterial small subunit ribosomal RNA", at positions 524 to 776 of the family's 1533-position model. The record is from RNAcentral.
UACGUAGGGUGCAAGCGUUGUCCGGAAUUAUUGGGCGUAAAGAGCUCGUAGGCGGUCUGUCACGUCGGCUGUGAAAACCCGGGGCUCAACCCCGGGCCUGCAGUCGAUACGGGCAGACUAGAGUGCGGUAGGGGAGACUGGAAUUCCUGGUGUAGCGGUGGAAUGCGCAGAUAUCAGGAGGAACACCGAUGGCGAAGGCAGAUCUCUGGGCCGUAACUGACGCUGAGGAGCGAAAGCAUGGGGAGCGAACAGG